AAAAGAGGGUCGAAAGAGGGAACAUUGUAGUUUUGUGCCCGCGAUUGGGGCCUUGACCUCGGCCUUCCCUUUCGUUCAAUACAUAUAGUUUGCGUUUCGCACAUCUUGCUCCGGAGGUUGUUUUGGGUUGAGAUUAUGGGUUUGUUCCUGUGUUUGUUGGGUUUUUUAGAUUUUAUUUCGCUUUGAGUUGCUGAGGCAAUUGAUUCUCUUUCUCCUUAUGUGGUGGCUAGCAUUUCCAUGGUUUUGCUUUGUAGAGAGGCUAUGGCUAGUCGCUUGGUGGUCGAGGAUUACUUCUUGAGAGAGUUCUCGUUGUUGUUGUCUCCAUAGAAGCUUUAUUGCAUGUGUGCGAUGGCGGUGGCUUCGGAAUUUUCACCGUCAAGCCUUCGUGAGUCUGGCUUUCCCUAGGUUGCAGAGACUUCAGCCAGUGAGUAUCCCAUAACCCUAUUGAGUUGUGUUUUCUGUUGGUCUUGGCCGAUACUUUCCUCACUCAGUGUUAGUGCUCGAUUUCUUUCUAUUGGCGAUUCUCUUGGAUGCGCUUGUUUUGUCGAUCAUCCAACGGCCGUCUGGCUUAAGAUUGAUGGAGGUAUUCUAGUCAGUGCUGAAAUUCAAAAGCAAUUUUUGCCAGUGGUUUUUGCUAUUGUUUUUCGUUUUUAGUUUUUGAUUUUCAAUUGGAUUGAAUUUUCUAUUAUGUUGCGUUGUGUCUUGUUGGAUUGUUAGGCUUGUUGUUUUCUUGAGCUGAAAUGUCUGGAUUGUUAUUUUUGAGCCAAAUUUUAAGUUCUCUCCAUUGUAAAUAUUAAUAUGGUUUUAAUAUUCCUUGA
RNAcentral lists this long non-coding RNA (818 nucleotides) under Manihot esculenta (cassava). RNAcentral's name for it is "long non-coding RNA (MESC_LNC002743)". The record is from RNAcentral. Lineage: Eukaryota; Viridiplantae; Streptophyta; Magnoliopsida; Malpighiales; Euphorbiaceae.